RNAcentral lists this ribosomal RNA (468 nucleotides) under uncultured bacterium. RNAcentral describes it as "partial 16S ribosomal RNA". It matches the Rfam family "Bacterial small subunit ribosomal RNA", at positions 28 to 507 of the family's 1533-position model. The record is from RNAcentral.
GACGAACGCUGGCGGCGUGCUUAACACAUGCAAGUCGAACGGAAAGGCCCUGCUUUUGUGGGGUGCUCGAGUGGCGAGCGGGUGAGUAACACGUGAGUAACCUGCCCUUGACUUUGGGAUAACUUCAGGAAACUGGGGCUAAUACCGGAUAGGAGCUCCUGCUGCAUGGUGGGGGUUGGAAAGUUUCGGCGUUUGGGGAUGGACUCGCGGCUUAUCAGCUUGUUGGUGUGGUAGUGGCUUACCAGGGUUUUGACGGGUAGCCGGCCUGAGAGGGUGACCGGCCACAUUGGGACUGAGAGACGGCCCAGACUGCUACGGGCGGCAGCAGUGGGGAAUAUUGCACAAUGGGCGGAAGCCUGAUGCAGCAACGCCGCGUGCGGGAUGACGGCCUUCGGGUUGUAAACCGCUUUCGCAUGUGACGAAGCGUGAGUGACGGUAAUGGGUAAAGAAGCACCGGCUAACUACGUG